Molecule: long non-coding RNA, 1398 nt
Filed under: Nicotiana benthamiana
Lineage: Eukaryota; Viridiplantae; Streptophyta; Magnoliopsida; Solanales; Solanaceae
Description: long non-coding RNA (NBEN_LNC041083)
Source: RNAcentral
GCGUGCAUGCGCCCCUGCUAACAGCUACAGAUAAGGAUUUAUUUCUUGGAAGCAACAAAUAAGAUUGAGCGGAAGGGACAGAAUGAAUAUCCAACCCUCUUUUACCUCGAGUUCCAAUUGUUUACGUCGGACAACAAUUCCCAACUCAUUAUUUGGACUUUUGUUUCAAAUAGAAUUGUCACAAAAACAUAAUGACCUAUUCAGACUAAAAAAGCUCUAGGUUUUACCAUGAGCAACUGUCUGAAGAUAUCUCGCAAAAGGUUACAUGCACCCGGUGGCGGGGGUAGGAUUUUUGCUAAGCGGGUUCAAAAAAGAAAAAGGUUAAAAACAAUUGUAGCUAGUGAAAAUUAAAUCAAUGACCUUACAAAGGUUUUGAACCCCUUGACAACUAAGCCUUUUGGGUUGCAUCAAGGGGAUUCAAAACAUAUAGAGGUAAAAAAAAAAAUUGCCUUAUAUAUACAAUGUAAGUUUCGGUGAAGGGGUUUUGGUGAACCCCUUCCCCCCCCCCCCCUAAAUCCGCCCCUGCAUGAACCUCGACUCUUAGAUAUGGAAGACAUGUUUGAAGUCUACGAAAAUCAAAUUGAUCUACAAGAUAAAGCUGAAGAAAGAAACAACAAAGACGAUCUCAGUUUCCUCAAGAGAUCUGAACAAUAACAACAGGCACCUAUCAUUUUUAAUGUCUUCCUUGCAUUCUUCAAAUUUACAUUAAAACAAGUUUUCGGUCCAUCUCCUAGAACGGUUCCACAUAAAGAGAGAUUUUAUAAAAUCAGCCUAAGCUCAAAACCUUCACCAACAUAUAGUCGUGAAAUGUAUUUCCUACAUGUUGGCUUCUUCUCCUGUCUCCUCUUUCUACCCAAUUUUAGGUCUUAACAUGAUAGACCAAAGACGUUGAAGAGAUAAUAGUGUAAGGCGAUCAUUAUCAUGAGCCAAGGGUGCAACUUGUCUAUUCUAAUUCUCAAAGAAUUCCUGAUUAGACACUCAACCAAUUGCCAAUGCCUCACCUCAGGCUUUAGGCAUUGGAGGUGCUGAACAACCACAAAGACAAGGUACUCUCCACAUACACCCUGGAACAAUUUUAAUUCAUCUGCCAGAGGUGCAAUACAAGCCUAUGGCCUAUUUUUCACUCGAAGGAGUCUUUAUAACACCAAAAUAGAUCAGUUCGUAUCAACCUUCUGGAAUUGCUUUAACUCAAGAACUAGAAAGUUAUGCAAAGCCAUGUUGAACAUGGAAUUCACACACACACGCAGAGACAAAAAAAAAACCACAUAGAGACUGCAUUAACAAUCAAUCGACCAGAUUUGUGACGAAAAAUCAAGCAGGAAAGCAACACAUAAAAGAAGAAAAUCAUGACUCAAAUUAGUGAGUACUUAUUAUAUUGCAAAACACAAAUUCUUAUUG